This is a long non-coding RNA of Sitophilus oryzae (rice weevil), 485 nucleotides long. RefSeq lists it as uncharacterized. Lineage: Eukaryota; Metazoa; Arthropoda; Insecta; Coleoptera; Curculionidae. The transcript is spliced from 2 exons. The record is from RefSeq and is a predicted model, not a curated record.
AAUUCUAAUUUUUUAAGUUAAGGUUAAGUGUUGCUCAUUCUCAAAUAAGUUAUUGAUUUCCUGUUGUGAAUAUUUUAAUAUUAAAUAAUAUUUAAGAACAAUGCCUGGUCCUGCUAGAGCUGCAACGGCAAAAUUGCCAAUUGGAAAAAAACAGAUUGAAGUCCUGACCUCAUGGCUUGGUACUGCCGGUGCUUAUGGGGCCACUUCAGCAGCGCUGAUUGUCUACUUAACAGACUGGAGAGUUGUUGUUGAUUAUAUUCCUUUUUACAAUACCAAAUUUCCUAAACAAGAAUAGAAAGUUUUAAAUUUAUGUGUGAAGAAUAAUUGUAUAGAUGUUUUAAUAAAAAUUGGUUAGUUUGUAUAAUAUAUUUACUUAUUUACAUAAAGGCAAUAACUUUUUAGAAGAAAAGGAAAAUAUUUUGAAAUCUAGGUUUUGGCUGUAUAUUAAAAUCUGAAUGGAAUAAUGUAUUAAAAGCUUAAAUUUA